This is an RNA transcript of Hevea brasiliensis (rubber tree), 3363 nucleotides long. RefSeq lists it as uncharacterized. NCBI's taxonomy places the organism in Eukaryota, Viridiplantae, Streptophyta, Magnoliopsida, Malpighiales, Euphorbiaceae. The transcript is spliced from 3 exons. The record is from RefSeq and is a predicted model, not a curated record.
UGAGAAAAUAAAGACAAAACAGUAAAAGGAAAACAUAGAGACGAAGUUGAGAGAGAUAGAGAGGGAGAGAGAGAGAGAAAAGAGGGGGAGAGAGAAAAAGGAAAGCCUCCGCGUCUGAAUGGUCCUUGGUGGCUGAGAUAAAGAAGAAAAACGGAUUUGAACAGAUCCAAUGGCUGAUGAACAAAUAGAUUAUGAGGACGAGGAGUAUGGGGGAGCUCAGAAAGUUCAAUAUCAGGGAAGUGGUGCCAUACCUGCACUUGCAGAGGAAGAGAUGGGGGAAGAUGAUGAAUAUGAUGAUCUCUACAAUGAUGUAAAUGUUGGAGAGAAUUUCCUACAGAUGCACCGAUCUGAGGUUCCACCACCACCUGCUAGUAUGGGCAAUGGAGGAUUCCAAUCUCGGAAUGUUGAUGAAUCAAGAGUUGAAAGUAGUGGUUCACAGGGACUGAACAAACCUGGGGUGGCAAUUGAAGAGAAGUAUUCUAAUGCCACAACACAUUUUCAUGAGCAGAGAGAAGUUCCCAUGGGUGUUAAGGGGCCAGAAAUGGGAUCUGUUGGCUACCCAGAUGGGUCUAAUGUUGCACAAAAAGGGAGGGUUAUGGAGAUGACUCAUGAUUCUCAAGCACGAAAUAUGGGGUUUCAAGGAACAACAUCUGUGCCCUCCAACAUUGGGGUUGAUCCUUCUUCUGAUAUGAGUAGAAAAAUUGCCAAUGAGUCUUCACCUUUGCCAAAUACUGGCACCAGUGGUCCUCGAGGCAUUCAACAGUUGUCAACUAAUCAAAUUAGUGUGAAUAUGGAUGCCAAUCGUCCUGCAAUGAAUGAAAAUCAAAUCCGGCCACCAAUAGAGAAUGGUUCAACCAUGCUGUUUGUGGGAGAAUUACAUUGGUGGACAACUGAUGCAGAGCUUGAGAGUGUUUUAUCUCAAUAUGGAAGGGUCAAGGAGAUAAAGUUCUUUGAUGAAAGAGCUAGUGGCAAAUCUAAGGGCUAUUGCCAAGUUGAAUUUUAUGAUGCAGCAGCUGCUGCUGCAUGCAAAGAGGGAAUGGAUGGGCAUGUUUUCAAUGGUCGUGCUUGUGUUGUGGCCUUUGCUUCUCCACAAACAUUAAAGCAGAUGGGGGCUUCUUACAUGAACAAAACUCAGAGUCAGCCUCAGUCGCAGAAUCAAGGAAGGAGGCCUAUGAAUGAUGGUGUGGGAAGAGGUGGUAAUAUGAAUUAUCAAGGUGGAGAUGCGGGGAGGAACUAUGGAAGGGGUGGGUGGGGACGAGGUGGGCAGGGAAUUCUCAAUAGAGGUCCUGGAGGUGGAGGCCCAAUGAGGGGCAGAGGAGGAGCCAUGGGUGCCAAGAACAUGGUUGGAGGUGCUGGUGGAUUAGGAAGUGGUGCCAAUGGUGGAGGCUAUGGACAAGGCCUUGCAGGUCCUGCUUUUGGUGGACCUGCUGGUGGUAUGAUGCCUCCACAGGGUAUGAUGGGAGCUGGAUUUGAUCCAACAUAUAUGGGUCGUGGGGCUGGAUAUGGAGGAUUUGCAGGUCCUGGUUUUCCUGGCAUGCUUCCUUCGUUUCCAGCUGUUAAUACAAUGGGACUUGCUGGGGUGGCUCCUCAUGUCAACCCAGCCUUCUUUGGCCGGGGAAUGACACCUAAUGGUAUGGGAAUGAUGGGUCCCACUGGAAUGGAUGGGCCUAAUGCUGGAAUGUGGUCUGACACAAGCAUGGGUGGAUGGGGAGAAGAGCCUGGCAGAAGAACAAGGGAGUCAAGUUAUGGUGGUGAUGAUGGGGCUUCUGAAUAUGGCUAUGGAGAGGUCAAUCAUGAAAAGGGAGCACGGUCAAGCGCUGUCUCUCGGGAAAAGGAGCGGGUUUCUGAGCGUGACUGGUCAGGGACCUCUGAUAGGAGGCAUCGUGAUGAGAGGGAACAUGAUUGGGACAGGUCUGAAAGAGAGCACAGGGAGCACAGGUACCGGGAAGAGAAAGAAAGUUACCGAGAACAUCGACAAAGAGAGCGUGACUCUGGUUAUGAGGAUGACUGGGAUAGAGGGCAAUCUUCUUCAAGAUCUAGAAGCAGGUCCCGUGCAGUGCCUGAAGAAGAUUACAGGUCUCGAUCAAGGGAUGCAGAUUAUGGCAAGAGGAGGCGCCUACCAUCAGAGUGAUACAACCAUUCUGUUCAUCUUUCUUGGAUAGGUUUACAAGGCCUCAACAUUUUAUAUCUGCACUUUUGGUCUGUCUCCCUUGGGCUGUUUGCGCUGGCUGCAUUAACCUGAAAUGCAGAUGGUGACUUCUUGAGGGAAGAAGGGGUGGAGUGGGCAACUCUUUGUUUUCAUGAUUGAAUCAUAUCUGUGUUAGUUGCCUGGAGGAAGAUGUGUUAGAUGAGCUGCCUUCACUGGAUUUCUUCCAUAAUGGUUUUGAUCUGCCAAGUUUGCAAAAGAAGCCUUGAUUAUUUUGGCUUUCACCCUUUUUUCCACAAGCACCACUUAAGAAUCUGUAAAUAACAUUCCUGCAAGAAUAUGUCUAGAAAGACUUGUAUUCAUGGAGCUGUAAAAUAAUGAAGAGAUGUAUUAGGUCCUUUAGUUUUUUUAUUUCAUGUAAAUGGAUACAUGUAUUAGGUCCUUUAGUUUCUUCUUGUUAUACAUCAGGUCAACAUCAUGUAAUGGUCUCCUUCAUUAUUUAUUUUGAUCAUUGAUCUUUUUUCUGUUUCAUCACUGAGCUUGUAAAAGUCUUGUACCAAUUGUGGGGACCAUAUUUGUACAUAUUUGAUGUCUUGUAAUUCCUCUUGUUAUGUCUCUGUGUUAGUUAGAAGGGUCAGAGAUGAGUUAAUAAUGCUUUGUAAUGAUGGGUGGAUAUCCCUACUCUAUUUUGGUCACUGUAAUACAUAUAAAACCCAAGUUUUAAGGACAUUCUUCCUGAAAAGUUGAAGGAUUUGAGAAGUUUCAUCAUUACAAUGUAAAUUUGGGGUCUACCUCACUAUUAGGAGCUAUGAGUAAAUGCCACAAUGUUGCAGAUGCGCGGGAACCAAAAAGAGUGUUGACUGUUUUGGGCUUGUUUAUCCCUCUCUGGAGGCCUGAUGCAAUGCUUUUUAUGUAUUCUUUUUUUUUUUUCCCCCUUUUGGGGAUCUAGUUUAGGGUUCCUCAUUUACUGUUGUUCUUGGUGAGAUUUUGUUGUAUAAAUCAUGUUUUCUGGUUUGUACAGUAGGAUGUAGAUUUUAUUUUACACUGUACUUUAGAUUUUAGUCUUCAGCCUUCUUGUAUUUAUGUACGAGGAGCGGCAACAUCCUUCUUAAAGGUGCAUUCCAGUGUUCUGAUAGGUGCUACUUGAUGACAAAAACUGACACUUGUAUUUACUUUUUUAUUUAGAUUCAGUAUGUACUCAUGCUAUCUUUUCAUUA